CUUGCUUUGGUAAUACAUACUAAAAUUAGAAUACUACUGAGAAGUUUAGUGUGGCCCCUGCUCAAGGAUGAAACACAAAUUCAUGAAGCAUUUUAUAUUUUU
Monodelphis domestica (gray short-tailed opossum) is the source of this 102-nucleotide small nuclear RNA. Lineage: Eukaryota; Metazoa; Chordata; Mammalia; Didelphimorphia; Didelphidae. The record is from Ensembl.